Molecule: ribosomal RNA, 253 nt
Filed under: uncultured bacterium
Lineage: Bacteria
Description: partial 16S ribosomal RNA
Rfam family: Bacterial small subunit ribosomal RNA
Source: RNAcentral
UACGUAGGUGGCAAGCGUUGUCCGGAUUUACUGGGCGUAAAGAGCGCGCAGGCGGUCGUUCAAGUCGCGUGUGAAAGCCCCCGGCUCAACUGGGGAGGGUCACGCGAUACUGAUCGACUCGAAGGCAGGAGAGGGUAGUGGAAUUCCCGGUGUAGUGGUGAAAUGCGUAGAUAUCGGGAGGAACACCAGUGGCGAAGGCGACUCCCUGGCCUGUUCUUGACGCUGAGGCGCGAAAGCUAGGGGAGCAAACGGG